AUUCUCUCAACGCACAGUCACUCCUAGUUCUGCUCUCUUGAUUCCUGCUGUUCCUUCAGCCCCCGUUGCUGUCAUUCAGGCUGUUCACUGAAAGGCAAUCCUGGCUUCCUAAUCACGAGGCACGACUGUGCUCCCGAGAGAUCACACUAACUGUUGGAGAGCAUCUAUUUCUCUGAAUCUUCUGCAACAUAAGGAUUGGCAUGUGUAGGACUGACAACCUGAGGCCUGAUCCUGGUUUCUGACUGAUUUUCCCAUCCUGGAGAUCCUGAGAGAAGCCCAUGGAGGAUAGUAAUCCUGUGAUCAUCAUGAUUUCAGGACCCCAUUGUUGGACUAUACCAGAGACCCCAUGAGCUGAUCCUUGCAUCCUGGCCUGAGAGAAACCUGGCAUUUUAACCACAGGCCCUCUAGGACCAGUUCAACUGACCCCAUCUUAUCAUCACAGUAAUUAAGAGUGGUUUCUCAGGAACUGAGACCCCUUGUCCAGUUCAGGCUAUUUCAGACCACCAACUUAUCAACUGGGCCUCCACAAAUGCCUGAUAAGUGACUUUUGUGACCUCAAGGGGCUGAAAACUC
This 573-nucleotide long non-coding RNA is filed under the name Equus caballus (horse). Its description in RNAcentral is "lncRNA (ENSECAG00000054143.1)". The record is from RNAcentral. Lineage: Eukaryota; Metazoa; Chordata; Mammalia; Perissodactyla; Equidae.